AUGCUCGCUUUGGCAGCACAGACACCAAAACUGGAAUGAUACAGAGAAGAUUAGGAUGACCUCUGCCCAAGGA
Molecule: small nuclear RNA, 73 nt
Organism: Cavia aperea (Brazilian guinea pig)
Lineage: Eukaryota; Metazoa; Chordata; Mammalia; Rodentia; Caviidae
Source: Ensembl